RNAcentral lists this ribosomal RNA (253 nucleotides) under uncultured bacterium. Its description in RNAcentral is "partial 16S ribosomal RNA". It matches the Rfam family "Bacterial small subunit ribosomal RNA", at positions 524 to 776 of the family's 1533-position model. The record is from RNAcentral.
UACGUAGGUUGCGAGCGUUGUCCGGAAUUAUUGGGCGUACAGGGCUCGUAGGCGGUUUGUCGCGUCGGGAGUGAAAAUCCAGGGCUUAACUCUGGACUGGCUUCCGAUACGGGCAGACUAGAGGUAUGCAGGGGAGAACGGAAUUCCUGGUGUAGCGGUGAAAUGCGCAGAUAUCAGGAGGAACACCGGUGGCGAAGGCGGUUCUCUGGGCAUUACCUGACGCUGAGGAGCGAAAGUGUGGGGAGCGAACAGG